Molecule: transfer RNA, 2369 nt
Filed under: synthetic construct
Description: M3-M2
Source: RNAcentral
GAGCGUCAGCCAUGGCCUUCCUAUCCACAUCUGUGCUCAUUAAAUGCUGCAUCCUCCUGUUGGCAGGAGGAUUGGCUGAGAGCCUUACUCUAGGUUUGGCACCUGCUCUGUCUACCCACUCUUCUGGAGUGUCAACACAGUCUGUUGAUUUGUCACAAAUUAAAAGAGGCGAUGAGAUCCAAGCCCACUGUCUGACACCAGCAGAAACUGAAGUGACUGAGUGUGCUGGCAUUCUGAAAGAUGUUCUGUCAAAAAACCUUCAUGAGCUUCAAGGGCUCUGUAAUGUUAAGAACAAAAUGGGUGUACCAUGGGUUUCUGUGGAAGAGCUGGGUCAAGAGAUUAUAACAGGCAGAUUGCCAUUCCCCUCUGUGGGUGGCACACCAGUGAAUGACCUGGUACGAGUUUUGGUGGUGGCAGAAUCAAACACCCCAGAAGAGACUCCAGAGGAGGAGUUUUAUGCCUAUGUGGAACUUCAGACUGAGUUGUACACCUUUGGUCUGUCUGAUGACAAUGUGGUUUUCACUAGCGAUUAUAUGACUGUGUGGAUGAUUGACAUUCCCAAAUCUUAUGUGGAUGUGGGCAUGCUCACACGAGCAACUUUCCUGGAGCAGUGGCCGGGUGCCAAAGUGACUGUCAUGAUUCCCUACUCCUCCACCUUUACCUGGUGUGGAGAGCUUGGCGCCAUCUCUGAAGAAUCUGCCCCACAACCAAGUUUGAGUGCCAGAUCCCCGGUCUGUAAGAACAGUGCCAGAUAUUCUACCUCAAAAUUUUGCGAGGUAGAUGGAUGCACAGCUGAAACUGGCAUGGAAAAGAUGUCUCUGCUCACUCCAUUUGGAGGCCCACCUCAACAGGCUAAGAUGAACACUUGCCCAUGCUACUACAAGUACAGCGUGAGCCCACUGCCUGCCAUGGACCACUUGAUCCUAGCUGACCUAGCUGGCCUGGAUUCUCUCACUUCACCUGUUUAUGUGAUGGCAGCAUAUUUUGAUUCUACACAUGAAAAUCCUGUGAGACCAUCCAGCAAGCUUUAUCAUUGUGCUCUACAGAUGACAAGUCAUGAUGGGGUGUGGACUUCAACUUCCAGUGAGCAGUGUCCCAUUAGACUGGUUGAGGGCCAGUCUCAAAAUGUGCUGCAGGUAAUGGCCCCAACACCCCCACAAGGAAAGAUUCCCAAUCCGUGGCCUGGUGGAUGCUCUCAAAAUCCAGUGCUAUGGGGUGAUGGGACAGACGGGAACUACCGUCCCAGCGAGCCCUGGAUCUUAGGCCAAGUGCCAUGUGAUCAGCGCUUUCCCCAUCCCUCAGGAAAUAAAAACAGUUCCUCUACAUCUGGGGGCAGACCUCAGCGCCCGCCUUUGCCAAGGACUCGCUUUCCUAAAACCAUAAGAAGGGGAUUCAAUAAACUUAGGUCGACGUUAAAGUCCCCAUGGAAGCCGCGGCCGAGUCCUGUACCAAGUCCUGAAGAAGUUAACCCUGCAGGAAGUCCUGAAGAAAACAUCUAUGAAACUGCUAACAGUGAACCAGUCUAUAUCCAGCCAAUCUCUACGAGGUCCUUAAUGAUGUUGGACUCUGGCUCGACUGACAGUCCAGAAAAUCUAGGCCCACCUACAAGACCUUUGCCUAAACUCCCGAACCAACACCCCAUGAACCCUGAGAUACGUCUUCCUAUUAUUCCACCAUCCAAAUGUCAUAAAGGUUUUGUGGAGUGGGGCGAGGAGUAACAGUGAAGGUGCUAACGCAGAACAUAACUUUUUCUUUAAACACGCCUGGAAGGAGAAGCGUGACAGACCAGACAAUCCCAUCACCCAACCAGGUCUCGGACACUCUUUUACAACCCUAGGAGAGCCAGAUAAAAAUUUUGUGUUAAGCAAGAAGAAAAACUCACUUAGGGUUGGUCAGAUCUACUUGAUCUCCUGACCAAACCCCCAGUGAGUGCUGGUAAAGAAGAGCUCACAUGAGAUAGCUUACAACCUACGCGGCCACUCAACAGACUCUUCCCAUGCCAGCGCCCGGACUUGAACCGAGAACCUGCAGGCUUGGUGGCCGCUGCUCUAACAAUUGAGCUACGCUGGCAAUUAUCUAAAAAGGGGAAAACUUUCACUGAACAUUCUGAGUGGCACGAGAAUUAUUUGCAUGUGUGUGAGCAGCCACUGUUCCAUGGGUGCAUAUUUGGGCGGUAGGGGCUGAUAGAGGGUAGUCUUUGGUAUGCUUGAUGUGGCUGCCACGCCCACUGUGGAAGGUGGCACUCAGUAGGUGACAGCAUCCACUUAAUGGACUGAAGCCCGUCAUGACACAACCGUUCAUCUAGAGGCGCAGCUGUAGAUGGUAAGAACUCCCUCACGCUUUCUGCAGUAAAAGAACUUUGUUCACCA